Molecule: ribosomal RNA, 612 nt
Filed under: uncultured bacterium
Lineage: Bacteria
Description: bacterial SSU rRNA
Rfam family: Bacterial small subunit ribosomal RNA
Source: RNAcentral
CCCUGGUAGUCCACGCCGUAAACGAUGAGUGCUAGUUGUUUGGGGCUAUCCAGCCCUAAGUGACGCAGCAAACGCAUUAAGCACUCCGCCUGGGGAGUACGACCGCAAGGUUGAAACUCAAAGGAAUUGACGGGGGCCCGCACAAGCGGUGGAGCAUGUGGUUUAAUUCGAAGCAACGCGAAGAACCUUACCAGGUCUUGACAUACUCGUGCUAUUCCUAGAGAUAGGAAGUUCCUUCGGGACACGGGAUACAGGUGGUGCAUGGUUGUCGUCAGCUCGUGUCGUGAGAUGUUGGGUUAAGUCCCGCAACGAGCGCAACCCUUAUUGUUAGUUGCCAUCAUUAAGUUGGGCACUCUAGCGAGACUGCCGGUAAUAAACCGGAGGAAGGUGGGGAUGACGUCAAAUCAUCAUGCCCCUUAUGACCUGGGCUACACACGUGCUACAAUGGUUGGUACAACGAGUCGCAAGACAGUGAUGUCAAGCUAAUCUCUUAAAGCCAAUCUCAGUUCGGAUUGUAGGCUGCAACUCGCCUACAUGAAGUCGGAAUCGCUAGUAAUCGCGGAUCAGCACGCCGCGGUGAAUACGUUCCCGGGCCUUGUACACACCGCCCGU